CGGGACACGUGGUAUCCUGUCUGAAUAUGGGGGGACCAUCCUCCAAGGCUAAAUACUCCUGACUGACCGAUAGUGAACCAGUACCGUGAGGGAAAGGCGAAAAGAACCCCGGCGAGGGGAGUGAAAAAGAACCUGAAACCGUGUACGUACAAGCAGUGGGAGCACGCUUAGGCGUGUGACUGCGUACCUUUUGUAUAAUGGGUCAGCGACUUAUAUUCUGUAGCAAGGUUAACCGAAUAGGGGAGCCGAAGGGAAACCGAGUCUUAACUGGGCGUUAAGUUGCAGGGUAUAGACCCGAAACCCGGUGAUCUAGCCAUGGGCAGGUUGAAGGUUGGGUAACACUAACUGGAGGACCGAACCGACUAAUGUUGAAAAAUUAGCGGAUGACUUGUGGCUGGGGGUGAAAGGCCAAUCAAACCGGGAGAUAGCUGGUUCUCCCCGAAAGCUAUUUAGGUAGCGCCUCGUGAAUUCAUCUCCGGGGGUAGAGCACUGUUUCGGCAAGGGGGUCAUCCCGACUUACCAACCCGAUGCAAACUGCGAAUACCGGAGAAUGUUAUCACGGGAGACACACGGCGGGUGCUAACGUCCGUCGUGAAGAGGGAAACAACCCAGACCGCCAGCUAAGGUCCCAAAGUCAUGGUUAAGUGGGAAACGAUGUGGGAAGGCCCAGACAGCCAGGAUGUUGGCUUAGAAGCAGCCAUCAUUUAAAGAAAGCGUAAUAGCUCACUGGUCGAGUCGGCCUGCGCGGAAGAUGUAACGGGGCUAAACCAUGCACCGAAGCUGCGGCAGCGACGCUGAUGCGUUGU
RNAcentral lists this ribosomal RNA (806 nucleotides) under Escherichia coli. Its description in RNAcentral is "partial 23S ribosomal RNA". It matches the Rfam family "Bacterial large subunit ribosomal RNA", at positions 418 to 1224 of the family's 2925-position model. The record is from RNAcentral. Lineage: Bacteria; Pseudomonadati; Pseudomonadota; Gammaproteobacteria; Enterobacterales; Enterobacteriaceae.